GACGAACGCUGGCGGCGUGCUUAACACAUGCAAGUCGAACGGGCCUUGUCCCCUUUUUUUUGGGGGUGGGGUUAGUGGCGAACGGGUGAGUAACACGUGAGUAACCUGCCCCUCACUUCUGGAUAACCGCUUGAAAGGGUGGCUAAUACGGGGUGUUCUGGCCUGCUCGCAUGGGUGGGUUUGGAAAGAUUCAACCGGUUUUGGUUGUUUUGGUGGGGGAUGGGCUCGCGGCCUACCAGCUUGUUGGUGGGGUGAUGGCCUGCCAAGGCUUUGACGGGUAGCCGGCCUGAGAGGGUGGGCGGUCACACUGGGACUGAGACACGGCCCAGACUCCUACGGGAGGCAGCAGUGGGGAAUAUUGCACAAUGGGCGCAAGCCUGAUGCAGCGACGCCGCGUGAGGGAUGGAGGCCUUCGGGUUGUGAACCUCUUUCGCCAGUGAAGAAGGUCCUGCUCUUUGUGGUGGGGUUGACGGUAGCUGGGUUAAUGAAGCGCCGGCUAACUACGUG
This 507-nucleotide ribosomal RNA is filed under the name uncultured bacterium. RNAcentral's name for it is "partial 16S ribosomal RNA". It matches the Rfam family "Bacterial small subunit ribosomal RNA", at positions 28 to 507 of the family's 1533-position model. The record is from RNAcentral.